RNAcentral lists this ribosomal RNA (566 nucleotides) under uncultured bacterium. Its description in RNAcentral is "partial 16S ribosomal RNA". It matches the Rfam family "Bacterial small subunit ribosomal RNA", at positions 355 to 914 of the family's 1533-position model. The record is from RNAcentral.
UGGGGAAUUUUGGACAAUGGGCGAAAGCCUGAUCCAGCAAUGCCGCGUGUGUGAAGAAGGCCUUCGGGUUGUAGAGCACUUUUGUCCGGAAAGAAAUCCUUGGCUCUAAUACAGUCGGGGGAUGACGGUACCGGAAGAAUAAGCACCGGCUAACUACGUGCCAGCAGCCGCGGUAAUACGUAGGGUGCAAGCGUUAAUCGGAAUUACUGGGCGUAAAGCGUGCGCAGGCGGUUUGCUAAGACCGAUGUGAAAUCCCCGGGCUCAACCUGGGAACUGCAUUGGUGACUGGCAGGCUAGAGUAUGGCAGAGGGGGGUAGAAUUCCACGUGUAGCAGUGAAAUGCGUAGAGAUGUGGAGGAAUACCGAUGGCGAAGGCAGCCCCCUGGGCCAAUACUGACGCUCAUGCACGAAAGCGUGGGGAGCAAACAGGAUUAGAUACCCUGGUAGUCCACGCCCUAAACGAUGUCAACUAGUUGUUGGGGAUUCAUUUCCUUAGUAACGUAGCUAACGCGUGAAGUUGACCGCCUGGGGAGUACGGUCGCAAGAUUAAAACUCAAAUGAAUUGAC